Long non-coding RNA from Anopheles stephensi (Asian malaria mosquito), 2154 nucleotides. RefSeq lists it as uncharacterized. Lineage: Eukaryota; Metazoa; Arthropoda; Insecta; Diptera; Culicidae. The record is from RefSeq and is a predicted model, not a curated record. The transcript is spliced from 2 exons.
AAAAUAGGAAGAACAAAACAAUUAAAAUUGCAGGGUUUUCAGUUGAUAAGGCAAUAGCAUCCAUUUUUAUGGCAGGCUUCUUAGAUGGAAUGGCAAACAAAGCUAAUUGAUAUGGGAACGACUUCAGGUGAUAGGGAAAUCAAAUGCCUUUUAUUGUGAUGUUCUCAGAUGAUAUUGUCAUAGUUGCCAUUGAUAUUGUACAUGACCUCCCAGCGUACGUGCAAAUACGUUCAGUAACAACGGCUACUAUGACAAUAUCAUCUGAUGACAUUUCAAUAAAAGGUAUUUGAUUCCCCUGUCAUCUGAAUUCUUUUCUACAUCAACUAGCUUUGGACUAAAGACUAUCCAGUUACGGGAAGAAACAAGUCACAAAUUGCACCUAUUGACAGGCCGAGGACUCUGGAGGUUGUAUUGCCAACUAAGAGGAAGCAAUAACACCAAACACAACACUUAUUGACAUUAUGGAAGAUUUACAGAAACACGUAGAUGACAAUAACACAUGUUACCAUAUCAAUGUGCAACGGCCAAAUGAAUAUAAUAUCCUAAGGACUAGAUCCAUUUAAGCAUGCGCUUGUUUGCGUUUCCCUUGUGCCCAAACCACCAUUACCAACGUCCUAACUGAUCGUAUUAGUAACAUUCAUCUUUUUUUUUUCAGAGUAAAUGCGAAUCCCAUUUUCGGUGUCUUGCAGCCAAUUUCGCGCUAAACGACUCUUAUCAGUGCAAUAACGUUAGAUUUAAAACCGACCUGAGACACAUUUUCGCAACGUAAAAGGUUGAUGUGUGAGGUGUAACUUUACCAUUAACUUCGCCCGGCACACUUGAAUGGGCGAAAAGAAUCGUUACACGCGCAUUUGGAUGGUGAUUUUCAAAUGGCAUCGAAUGGGAUUCGUUUUUUUAUUAUUUUUUGUCGACGAAGUAACGACUGUUGCAGUGCGGAGAGGACCUGGUCAACUGACUUCGAUUUCGACAGGAAAGCGCACAAUUUAUGUGUCACUGGAGAGAGUGUCAUUUAAAUGCUGCCCCUGAGUGUAGUGCGUUGGCCACUUUCGCGACCAUUCAUCGACGCCAGCCCGACGCAUCCCGCCGUCGAUUUUGAUUUUACAGAUGAGAAACGUGAUUUAUUGGAAAGCAUGCACCAGACCAGCACGGUGUGGCGGGCGUGGGAAAAAACCAUUCCACAGCGUACGACCGGCCCCCUGAGGAACUGUUCAACGAGCCUCACCAAUCUUUGCCCCUAGGGUUGCAAGGUUGCUAUGAAAGGGUAACCCGGAAAAGCGAGCCCACCGGAACUGAGCGCCAGGUCCACUUGGGAUAGUUUGAUCAUUUUAAUUGCGAUAAUGAAUUCUCAGCCGUGUACUUUAUGCUCUCGCACCAUCAACUUCCUUCGCCGAGCCACGUUCCCAUGUUUCUGCCGCUUACACAGUUUGUACCCACACACACACUCACACACCCGCACGUAUGUAUGUGUGUGUAUCUAAUUUACUUUUGUAAAAUUAUUUUAAUAAUCCGAUUUAAAACGGAUUACCACGUACGCCCGUACGUGACUGGUUGCAAUUGCUGGAGUUGCGCUACCGUACCACGAUGCGCUCCGGGUCUUCGCCCGGCCUGGCAGAGGCGUUCCUGCUAAGCGGAUGUAGCGGCAUAAAAGGAUUUAGUUCCGGUUUGUUUACGGCGUAGCGCUGAUGAAGGGUAGCCGAGCUUUGGGUUAGAAUCGUGGUCACCGUCUAAUGAGGGAGCAACGUAGAGAGGAGUGGUUGUGAAGCGGCGGGCUUAAUUUGUACGUUCUUGUUGAGAAACUAUUGAAAAAUGUGUUUUAAAGUGAAGAACCUUUUAUGUUUUAAAAUAUACAAAAAUUGUUUCAGCUUAAAUCCUAACAGUUAAAAUCACUAUGAAGGUCACUUUCAAACCUCUAGAAAACAACUUCAAAUUCAACAUUAUUUCUAAACCCAUUAAAGUUCCCAUCCAUCAACAACCGUAAGUGCUUUCGCAGUUUAAACUUCAGCAAAAGUGAAACAAACGGCGCGCACAUGUAGCAAUAAACCAUCACCACGCACCGAAAAGCAUUAAAGUCACAAGAAAUAGAUAAAAUUCGUACGUCAUGUCAUGCCCCAACCGAGCCGUGGCGUACGCAAACCCGUCCGUAUGUGCCACAAA